RNAcentral lists this ribosomal RNA (1518 nucleotides) under Triticum aestivum (bread wheat). RNAcentral describes it as "partial small subunit ribosomal RNA". Lineage: Eukaryota; Viridiplantae; Streptophyta; Magnoliopsida; Poales; Poaceae. The record is from RNAcentral.
CUCUCUCUGGCUUCUUCUCCUUUUAGGGCUCUCCGGUUUCUCUCUUUUCGAGUGAAGUAGCGGAGGCAGGGGGUCGUGGGGGUGCGGCUGCUGCGCUACUAAGGGUUGGAGAGGCGGGAGGUCUUGGUGAAGCCGCGGCGGCGGCGGCCGUCGCUGCUGGAGCCGCGGGAGAAGAGGCGGCUGCGGCGGCUGGUCGAACGGGAGCUCAAGGGGUGGACGUUGCUGAAGCUACCCAAGGUCUUCCGCUGGUUCCUCUACCACUUGUUGUUCUUCCCUUGGUGGUGCGAGAGGAAGUAGAAGCUGUUCCCGCAGUAGCAGCGGCGGCUGAGGGCCCGGUCGUACCCGCCGAUGUAUAGAAGCGUUUGACACUCCUUUUAGUAGCUCUAAUUAGGGAUGUACGACCCUUGGUACCGACCUCCACGACGACUAACGGUCAAAACCGUAUCUUUGAACCCCCAUUUCACGGCCGAGGUACUCGAACGGUUGUUCGCUUCCUAGAGAUAACGACCAAGAAGUUUCUGCAAUCGAUUAUAGGAAAUGAGCAUGGCGCCCUACCCUGAAAGUUAGCCAUGUUACUAACGACCUAAACUACUUUGACCAGGCCCUAACAUGAUACAACUGUCACUCCCACGUUCCGAGUUCCCUUCGGCCAAGAGACAACCAAGACCGAGAGAUAUACGAAUACCAUAGAACCUACUCCCAAUGUUUAAGUUGUACAGUCAACUCCUUCGACGACUCAAUCGUGCCGCCCGAUAAAUAGUACGUUGUAAGGCACUGCCUCGGUCACCACCGACACAAUCACAGAUGAUGCAACCGGGACUGCCGACCUUCUUCGACAGACCUCUACUACAACCCCUCGACGUGAUGGUGAUGAUGGGUCAGGUCCGCCGAGGGCAGCUCGUUCUCUACCGGCUCCGGGGAAGACGCAGUUGGACUAACUACAGCAUGCUUUAAGGCACUUGACACGACUUCGUGGAACAAAAUACCUGACCCCCGAACAAACAGAGGAGGAGCUGUAAUCUCACAAGAGAAGACUCUGGACGACUACAAGCUGAAUGCGUAGACCAUACCGUCACACCAACAUCUGACUACUUACAAUAUCUACAAAGGUAACUUCAAAGUAAACUUAAGCGAGCGAACGGACAACAAUACUGAAAACACAAACGACGACCUAUCAGACCCGGAUCCCACCCGUUUACUUCUACGAAAAAUUUAGUUGCCGCUUGACUCUUCACGUGCAAAGAAACCACUUUGACUACCAGGCUGCCUACGACUUGUUAGCACGACAUUUGUAAUCCGCUUUUUCAGAGUAUAAGUUUGGAGUGAAAAAAGUACGUCUCCAUAUUUCUACCUGAGCAAGCAAAGGACAUCUUGUCCGCCGUGACGUCUAAAGCUCGUAAAGCAAGGAGAGACUUAAAAUGAUGAGACUGCAAAUAGCCUCAUCAUUUUCAUAGAAAAAAAUCUGUUACAUUUUAUAGAAGAGUUUACUAUUCACAGUGUGUACACCGUGCUUCAUUG